AGAGUUUGAUCAUGGCUCAGAUUGAACGCUGGCGGCAGGCCUAACACAUGCAAGUCGAGCGGUAGCACAGAGAGCUUGCUCUCGGGUGACGAGCGGCGGACGGGUGAGUAAUGUCUGGGAAACUGCCUGAUGGAGGGGGAUAACUACUGGAAACGGUAGCUAAUACCGCAUAAUGUCGCAAGACCAAAGUGGGGGACCUUCGGGCCUCAUGCCAUCAGAUGUGCCCAGAUGGGAUUAGCUAGUAGGUGGGGUAACGGCUCACCUAGGCGACGAUCCCUAGCUGGUCUGAGAGGAUGACCAGCCACACUGGAACUGAGACACGGUCCAGACUCCUACGGGAGGCAGCAGUGGGGAAUAUUGCACAAUGGGCGCAAGCCUGAUGCAGCCAUGCCGCGUGUGUGAAGAAGGCCUUCGGGUUGUAAAGCACUUUCAGCGGGGAGGAAGGCGGUGAGGUUAAUAACCUCAUCGAUUGACGUUACCCGCAGAAGAAGCACCGGCUAACUCCGUGCCAGCAGCCGCGGUAAUACGGAGGGUGCAAGCGUUAAUCGGAAUUACUGGGCGUAAAGCGCACGCAGGCGGUCUGUCAAGUCGGAUGUGAAAUCCCCGGGCUCAACCUGGGAACUGCAUUCGAAACUGGCAGGCUAGAGUCUUGUAGAGGGGGGUAGAAUUCCAGGUGUAGCGGUGAAAUGCGUAGAGAUCUGGAGGAAUACCGGUGGCGAAGGCGGCCCCCUGGACAAAGACUGACGCUCAGGUGCGAAAGCGUGGGGAGCAAACAGGAUUAGAUACCCUGGUAGUCCACGCUGUAAACGAUGUCGAUUUGGAGGUUGUGCCCUUGAGGCGUGGCUUCCGGAGCUAACGCGUUAAAUCGACCGCCUGGGGAGUACGGCCGCAAGGUUAAAACUCAAAUGAAUUGACGGGGGCCCGCACAAGCGGUGGAGCAUGUGGUUUAAUUCGAUGCAACGCGAAGAACCUUACCUGGUCUUGACAUCCACAGAACUUUCCAGAGAUGGAUUGGUGCCUUCGGGAACUGUGAGACAGGUGCUGCAUGGCUGUCGUCAGCUCGUGUUGUGAAAUGUUGGGUUAAGUCCCGCAACGAGCGCAACCCUUAUCCUUUGUUGCCAGCGGUUAGGCCGGGAACUCAAAGGAGACUGCCAGUGAUAAACUGGAGGAAGGUGGGGAUGACGUCAAGUCAUCAUGGCCCUUACGACCAGGGCUACACACGUGCUACAAUGGCAUAUACAAAGAGAAGCGACCUCGCGAGAGCAAGCGGACCUCAUAAAGUAUGUCGUAGUCCGGAUUGGAGUCUGCAACUCGACUCCAUGAAGUCGGAAUCGCUAGUAAUCGUAGAUCAGAAUGCUACGGUGAAUACGUUCCCGGGCCUUGUACACACCGCCCGUCACACCAUGGGAGUGGGUUGCAAAAGAAGUAGGUAGCUUAACCUUCGGGAGGGCGCUUACCACUUUGUGAUUCAUGACUGGGGUGAAGUCGUAACAAGGUAACCGUAGGGGAACCUGCGGUUGGAUCACCUCCUU
RNAcentral lists this ribosomal RNA (1532 nucleotides) under Klebsiella variicola. RNAcentral describes it as "bacterial SSU rRNA". It matches the Rfam family "Bacterial small subunit ribosomal RNA". Lineage: Bacteria; Pseudomonadati; Pseudomonadota; Gammaproteobacteria; Enterobacterales; Enterobacteriaceae. The record is from RNAcentral.